RNAcentral lists this ribosomal RNA (464 nucleotides) under uncultured bacterium. RNAcentral describes it as "bacterial SSU rRNA". It matches the Rfam family "Bacterial small subunit ribosomal RNA", at positions 28 to 507 of the family's 1533-position model. The record is from RNAcentral.
GACGAACGCUGGCGGCGUGCCUAACACAUGCAAGUCGAACGAAGAAUGUUUUUCGGAAUAUUCUUAGUGGCGGACGGGUGAGUAACGCGUGAACAAUCUGCCCCGUACAAAGGGAUAGCCUCGGGAAACCGGGAUUAAAACCAUAUAACACUUAACUGCCGCAUGGUAGUGAAGUCAAAUCGAUUAAGAGGUAUGGGAUGAGUUCGCGUCUGAUUAGCUAGUUGGUGAGGUAAGGGCUCACCAAGGCGACGAUCAGUAGCCGGCCUGAGAGGGUGAACGGCCACACUGGAACUGAGACACGGUCCAGACUCCUACGGGAGGCAGCAGUGGGGAAUAUUGCACAAUGGAGGGAACUCUGAUGCAGCGACGCCGCGUGAGUGAAGAAAGGUCUUCGGAUCGUAAAACUCUGUCCUUGGUGAAGAAAAGGACGGUAGCCAAGGAGGAAGCCCCGGCUAACUAACGUG